RNAcentral lists this ribosomal RNA (843 nucleotides) under Verrucariaceae sp. RNAcentral describes it as "SSU rRNA". It matches the Rfam family "Eukaryotic small subunit ribosomal RNA", at positions 86 to 940 of the family's 1831-position model. The record is from RNAcentral. Lineage: Eukaryota; Fungi; Ascomycota; Eurotiomycetes; Verrucariales; Verrucariaceae.
ACUGCGAAUGGCUCAUUAAAUCAGUUAUAGUUUAUUUGAUAGUACCUUCUACCUGGAUAACCGUGGUAAUUCUAGAGCUAAUACAUGCUAAAAACCCCGACUUACGGAGGGGUGUAUUUAUUAGAUAAAAAACCAAUGCCCUCCGGGGCUCACUGGUGAUUCAUGAUAACUUAACGAAUCGCAUGGCCUUGCGCCGGCGAUGGUUCAUUCAAAUUUCUGCCCUAUCAACUUUCGAUGGUAGGAUAGUGGCCUACCAUGGUCUCAACGGGUAACGGGGAAUUAGGGUUCGAUUCCGGAGAGGGAGCCUGAGAAACGGCUACCACAUCCAAGGAAGGCAGCAGGCGCGCAAAUUACCCAAUUCCAAUACUAGAGAGGUAGUGACGAUAAAUACCGAUACAGGGCUCUUUCGGGUCUUGUAAUUGGAAUGAGUACAAUCUAAACCCCUUAACGAGGAACAAUUGGAGGGCAAGUCUGGUGCCAGCAGCCGCGGUAAUUCCAGCUCCAAUAGCGUAUAUUAAAGUUGUUGCAGUUAAAAAGCUCGUAGUUGAACCUUGGGCCUGGCCGAUCUGUCUUCCUAACCGUUGUACGGAUUCGGUCGGGCCUUUCCUUCUGGGGAGCCCCAUGUCCUUCACUGGGCGUGGUGGGGAACCAGGACUUUUACCUUGAAAAAAUUAGAGUGUUCAAAGCAGGCCUUUGCUCGAAUACAUUAGCAUGGAAUAAUGGAAUAGGACAGCAGUUCUAUUUUGUUGGUUUCUAGGACCGCUGUAAUGAUUAAUAGGGAUAGUCGGGGGCGUCAGUAUUCAAUUGUCAGAGGUGAAAUUCUUGGAUUUAUUGAAGACUAAC